AUUGAACGCUGGCGGAAUGCUUUACACAUGCAAGUCGAGCGGCAGCGCGGCCUUCGGGCUGGCGGCGAGCGGCGAACGGGUGAGUAAUGCAUCGGAACAUGCCCAGUCGUGGGGGAUAACACUUCGAAAGAAGUGCUAAUACCGCAUACGUCCUGAGGGGGAAAGCGGGGGAUCGCAAGACCUCGCGCGAUUGGAGUGGCCGAUGUCAGAUUAGCUAGUUGGUGGGGUAAAGGCCUACCAAGGCGACGAUCUGUAGCUGGUCUGAGAGGAUGAUCAGCCACACUGGGACUGAGACACGGCCCAGACUCCUACGGGAGGCAGCAGUGGGGAAUUUUGGACAAUGGGGGCAACCCUGAUCCAGCCAUUCCGCGUGAGCGAAGAAGGCCUUCGGGUUGUAAAGCUCUUUCGGCAGGAACGAAACGGUGGGCUCUAACAUAGUCCGCUAAUGACGGUACCUGAAGAAGAAGCACCGGCUAACUACGU
Molecule: ribosomal RNA, 483 nt
Filed under: uncultured bacterium
Lineage: Bacteria
Description: partial 16S ribosomal RNA
Rfam family: Bacterial small subunit ribosomal RNA
Source: RNAcentral